This 98-nucleotide microRNA precursor is filed under the name Loxodonta africana (African savanna elephant). RNAcentral's name for it is "miRNA (ENSLAFG00000029336.1)". Lineage: Eukaryota; Metazoa; Chordata; Mammalia; Proboscidea; Elephantidae. The record is from RNAcentral.
AUCAGCUGUGAAUCUUAUUAAGAGGUGGAUUCUGAUUCAGUAUGUCUGAGUGGGGCCUGAGAUUCUGCAUUUCUAACAAGCUCCCAGGUGAUGCUAAU